RNAcentral lists this ribosomal RNA (497 nucleotides) under uncultured bacterium. Its description in RNAcentral is "partial 16S ribosomal RNA". It matches the Rfam family "Bacterial small subunit ribosomal RNA", at positions 28 to 507 of the family's 1533-position model. The record is from RNAcentral.
GACGAACGCUGGCGGCGUGCCUAAUACAUGCAAGUAGAACGCUGAAGAGAGGAGCUUGCUCUUCUUGGAUGAGUUGCGAACGGGUAAGUAACGCGUAGGUAACCUGCCUUGUAGCGGGGGAUAACUAUUGGAAACGAUAGCUAAUACCGCAUAACAAUGGAUGACACAUGUCAUUUAUUUGAAAGGGGCAAUUGCUCCACUACAAGAUGGACCUGCGUUGUAUUAGCUAGUAGGUGAGGUAAUGGCUCACCUAGGCGACGAUACAUAGCCGACCUGAGAGGGUGAUCGGCCACACUGGGACUGAGACACGGCCCAGACUCCUACGGGAGGCAGCAGUAGGGAAUCUUCGGCAAUGGGGGCAACCCUGACCGAGCAACGCCGCGUGAGUGAAGAAGGUUUUCGGAUCGUAAAGCUCUGUUGUAAGUCAAGAACGGGUGUGAGAGUGGAAAGUUCACACUGUGACGGUAGCUUACCAGAAAGGGACGGCUAACUACGUG